Oryzias melastigma (Indian medaka) is the source of this 981-nucleotide long non-coding RNA. RefSeq lists it as uncharacterized. The transcript has 3 exons. NCBI's taxonomy places the organism in Eukaryota, Metazoa, Chordata, Actinopteri, Beloniformes, Adrianichthyidae. The record is from RefSeq and is a predicted model, not a curated record.
UGUAGACAUCCAUUAUUCCUCCACCAUGUCACUUCUUCAGGUGGAGGAAUGUACAUGUUUUUGCCUGAACAAGUGAGGGAGGAUGAAACUUGCAGUGAACUGCGUUCACGGGGGUUAGGAACCCUUAUAGCUCAGCUUCUAACAUAAAAGGAGAUUGCAAAUGAGAUUAGUACUUACACUUGAACUACACUCAAAAACUGGAUCUGGUUCUGCUCUUGACUGUCUGAUUGGUGGAAACUGACUCAAACAGCCCAUCUGCACCACUGUGGGAUAACAGGAAGUUUUUUUUAUUUGAAAGGUAAACACUAAAAGAAUGACAUGAAUAAAGUGUUUUUUAUUUUAUACUGAUGCUUUUUUAGACUGGCGUAAACAGGAAAAAAUGCAUACUCACUACAGGAUUUGGUUUAAGUAAUCAGUUAGUUGUGUUACAGCUGUUUAAAUGUUUUUGUUUAGUGAUCCUCAUGAGGAUUUUUUGCAGCAGCAGCAGCAGUGAAACAUGAAGCAUGAGUAAUGGUGAGAUUAUGAGCUUCAGCCGCCAGCUGCCUCCAGACGAACCGUUCCGGACCUACACAGACCUGCAGAACCGCUGGAAACGCCUGUAUGGAUACAGGCUCCCGGAGCAGGGGGAGGACGAGGUGGUGUACUGCAACAUCUGCUUCCAACCGAUGGGAGAGCGACUCUACACGUAUCCCUGAACUCAGUCAGGUGAAGGAAUGAUACCGACCAGAAACACACGAGCUCUGAGGGGUUUUACUGCAAGCGAUCUCUGUGUGAUCCCCUGCAUCGAGAAAAUCUCAACAUUCACAAAACAAAACAAAGCUUUUCUAUUGUACUUUCAUUUAUCCAGAAAAAAAUAUAAGAAGAUAAAACUUGUUAGACCAAACAAAUUUCACAUCUGUGAGUCCAGUUUCCUCUGUGAAAGUGUAAGUGUAGAUUAAAAUGUUGAUUUUUUUUAAUAUUUAGAAUAUUGUGCCAAGGAUU